AUUGAACGCUGGCGGCAGGCCUAACACAUGCAAGUCGAACGGUAACAGGAAGCAGCUUGCUGCUUCGCUGACGAGUGGCGGCCGGGUGAGUAAUGUCUGGGAAGCUGCCUGAUGGAGGGGGAUAACUACUGGAAACGGUAGCUAAUACCGCAUAAUGUCGCAAGACCAAAGAGGGGGACCUUCGGGCCUCUUGCCAUCGGAUGUGCCCAGAUGGGAUUAGCUUGUUGGUGGGGUAACGGCUCACCAAGGCGACGAUCCCUAGCUGGUCUGAGAGGAUGACCAGCCACACUGGAACUGAGACACGGUCCAGACUCCUACGGGAGGCAGCAGUGGCGAAUAUUGCACAAUGGGCGCAAGCCUGAUGCAGCCAUGCCGCGUGUAUGAAGAAGGCCUUCGGGUUGUAAAGUACUUUCAGCGGGGAGGAAGGGAGUAAAGUUAAUACCUUUGCUCAUUGACGUUACCCGCAGAAGAAGCACCGGCUAACUCCGUG
RNAcentral lists this ribosomal RNA (490 nucleotides) under uncultured bacterium. Its description in RNAcentral is "partial 16S ribosomal RNA". It matches the Rfam family "Bacterial small subunit ribosomal RNA", at positions 30 to 507 of the family's 1533-position model. The record is from RNAcentral.